UCUUUUUGUUGGAUCACCAAGAUCACUGCAUAAUUCGCGCGGGAGGUGAAGUCUCAAUAGUCUUGAUUUUUCACCCAUUUUUUUCCUUGUUGCCUUGUUUCACAAAUUGUGUAAUUAUUAUCAAAAUAUAUGUUGAAUUAUCCUUAGCCUGUUGUCAAAAUUAGCCUGUCGUCAAAAUUUCUGAAGUCAAAUUUGAUUGUAGUCUUGUAUCAUGUACAACUUGCUUAUAUU
RNAcentral lists this unclassified non-coding RNA (231 nucleotides) under Hevea brasiliensis (rubber tree). The record is from RNAcentral. Lineage: Eukaryota; Viridiplantae; Streptophyta; Magnoliopsida; Malpighiales; Euphorbiaceae.